RNAcentral lists this ribosomal RNA (382 nucleotides) under uncultured eukaryote. RNAcentral describes it as "partial 18S ribosomal RNA". It matches the Rfam family "Eukaryotic small subunit ribosomal RNA", at positions 592 to 976 of the family's 1831-position model. The record is from RNAcentral.
UGUAAGCGUAUACCAAAGUUGUUGCAGUUAAAACGCUCGUAGUCGGAAUUUGGCAGUUCCGGAUGUGUGCACGUCGUGUGCGCACUUCGCGGGGAUUGCUUUUGUGGUCUUGCGUAGGAUGAGGCACUUUUAUUAGUGAACGUCCUCACGCAACCACUUUUUACUGUGAGAAAAUCAGAGUGCUCAAAGCAGGCAUUUGCCGUGAAUGUAUUAGCAUGGAAUAAUAGAAUAGGACUUGGUUCUAUUUUGUUGGUUUGUUGGGACUGAGUAAUGAUUAAGAGGGACAGUUAGGGGCAUUUGUAUUUCGGUGCUAGAGGUGAAAUUCUUAGAUUACCGAAAGACAAACUGCUGCGAAAGCGUCUGCCAAGGAUGUUUUCAUUGA